RNAcentral lists this ribosomal RNA (669 nucleotides) under uncultured fungus. RNAcentral's name for it is "eukaryotic LSU rRNA". It matches the Rfam family "Eukaryotic large subunit ribosomal RNA", at positions 24 to 664 of the family's 3401-position model. The record is from RNAcentral. Lineage: Eukaryota; Fungi.
CCCGCUGAACUUAAGCAUAUCAAUAAGCGGAGGAAAAGAAACUAACAAGGAUUCCCCUAGUAACUGCGAGUGAAGCGGGAAAAGCUCAAAUUUAAAAUCUGGUGGUCUUUGGCCAUCCGAGUUGUAAUUUAGAGAAGCGUCUUCCGCGCUGGACCAUGCAUAAGUCUCCUGGAAUGGAGCGUCAUAGAGGGUGAGAAUCCCGUCUUUGGCAUGGACCCCCAGGGCUUCUGUGAUGCGCUCUCAAAGAGUCGAGUUGUUUGGGAAUGCAGCUCAAAAUGGGUGGUGAACUCCAUCUAAAGCUAAAUAUUGGCGAGAGACCGAUAGCGAACAAGUACCGUGAGGGAAAGAUGAAAAGCACUUUGGAAAGAGAGUGAAACAGUACGUGAAAUUGUUGAAAGGGAAACGCUUAAAGUCAGUCGCGUCGACCGAGACUCAGCCUCGCCUCGGCUUGGUGUACUUCUCGGCCGACGGGUCAGCAUCAAUUUUGAUCCUUGGAUAAUGGCAAGGGAAAGGUAGCACCUUUACAGGUGUGUUAUAGUCCUCUGUCGCAUGCAAGGGUCGGGAUUGAGGAACUCAGCACGCACCUCGUCGGUGUCGGGGCCUUUUGGCCUACGUUACGUGCUUAGGAUGCUGGCAUAAUGGUUGUAAGCGACCCGUCUUGAAACACGG